This 574-nucleotide long non-coding RNA is filed under the name Ursus americanus (American black bear). RNAcentral describes it as "lncRNA (ENSUAMG00000012755.1)". Lineage: Eukaryota; Metazoa; Chordata; Mammalia; Carnivora; Ursidae. The record is from RNAcentral.
AUUUCAAAUANAUAAAUAUCUAAUUGAAACUCCUGGGCCAGCUACUUUUCUUGGCUCCCAUGUACACAUAACUAAACUUUUUUUCUUGUGUUAAUCUGUUGCUUGUCAGUUUAGUUGACAGGCCCCAGUCAUGGAACAUAAGAGGCACUCCUGCAGCCUUCUUCACAGAGGCUCCCUAACUUUGCCAGACAUGCAGAACUCAGCAGAACGAGUGGAAAGAUCAGGAUUGCUCAUCAUCUCCUUGGCAGACAUCAUCAUGUUGUGAAGCGAAAAUUGGGAGUCCCUCAUUGCCUGGAACAGCAGAGACACCAGGGGCUCAGGCAGCUGCACGAGCUUCCGGCCUCAGGAGAACGCUGUGCAGAAGCAGCCAUCUGAACCUCCGCCUGAAGGCCACACCCCAGCCCUCUUCUCUGGCCGGACAGAGGUGAGCUCCCACGGCUGGGCGUGUUUAUCCUGAGGGGCUGGCCGGUGUGAGCGGUCGUACCCACAUUUGCACGUAGGGACAGAAGAACGUGGUUUCUCCAUCUUGGGUAGCUCCAUGUAAAUCACGCCGGUGUCUCAGGGACAGACACUU